RNAcentral lists this ribosomal RNA (253 nucleotides) under uncultured bacterium. Its description in RNAcentral is "partial 16S ribosomal RNA". It matches the Rfam family "Bacterial small subunit ribosomal RNA", at positions 524 to 776 of the family's 1533-position model. The record is from RNAcentral.
UACGGAGGAUGCAAGCGUUAUCCGGAAUUAUUGGGCGUAAAGCGUCCGCAGGUGGCACUUCAAGUCUGUCGUCAAAGACCGGGGCUUAACCCUGGAAAGGCGAUGGAAACUGAAAGGCUAGAGAGAGGUAGGGGUAGAGGGAAUUCCCAGUGUAGCGGUGAAAUGCGUAGAGAUUGGGAAGAACAUCGGUGGCGAAAGCGCUCUACUGGACCUCAUCUGACACUCAGGGACGAAAGCUAGGGGAGCGAACGGG